UUCUAAUAGAAAUUAUUAUUAGUAAAAUCUGCUCAAUGAAUUUUUAAUAGCCGCAACCUAGUUGUGCUAAGGUAGCAUAAUCAUUUGUCUUCUUAUUAAAGACUAGAACGAAAGAUUUAACAUUUAAAUUUCUUUUAAAAUAAUUUUUAUAAAAAUUAUUUUAAAUAUAAUAAAAUAUUUAUAAAUUAAAAAGACGAUAAGACCCUAUUAAACUUUACUUAAGUUUUACUGGGGAAGUAAGUUAAUUAUAAUUUUAAUUUUUAAAUUUAAAAUUGACCUAAUAUAAUUAAGUAUAUGAUUAAGUUACUAUAGGGAUAACAGCGUAAUAAUUUUUUAAAGAUCUUAUUCAAAAAAUAUUUUGCGACCUCGAUGUUGAAUAAUUAUCCUUCAAAGAUGCAAUAAUCUUAUUAAGGAAGUCUGUUCGACUUUUAAUUUAUUACA
Molecule: ribosomal RNA, 441 nt
Filed under: cf. Gasparia sp. New Zealand CG105
Lineage: Eukaryota; Metazoa; Arthropoda; Arachnida; Araneae; Desidae
Description: partial 16S ribosomal RNA
Source: RNAcentral